RNAcentral lists this ribosomal RNA (831 nucleotides) under uncultured Fibrobacterota bacterium. RNAcentral describes it as "bacterial SSU rRNA". It matches the Rfam family "Bacterial small subunit ribosomal RNA", at positions 60 to 897 of the family's 1533-position model. The record is from RNAcentral. Lineage: Bacteria; Pseudomonadati; Fibrobacterota.
AGUCGAGCGCGGGUAGCAAUACUCGAGCGGCGAACGGGUGAGUAACGCGUGAACAAUCUGCCUUAAAGUGGGGGAUAACCAUCCCAACGGAUGGCUAAUACCGCAUAGGGUAUAGGGGGGGCAUCCCUCCUUUACGAAAGGCUUCGGCCGCUUUAGGAUGAGUUCGCGUCCCAUUAGCUAGUUGGCGGGGUAACGGCCCACCAAGGCAACGAUGGGUAGCCGGCCUGAGAGGGUGUCCGGCCACAUUGGGACUGAGAUACGGCCCAGACUCCUACGGGAGGCAGCAGUAGGGAAUUUUGCGCAAUGGGGGAAACCCUGACGCAGCAACGCCAUGUGUGGGAUGAAGCAUUUCGGUGUGUAAACCACUGUCGGCAGGGAAUAAAGCCCGCGCUAGUCGCGGGGGUGAAUGUACCUGCAGAGGAAGCCCCGGCUAACUUCGUGCCAGCAGCCGCGGUAAUACGAGGGGGGCAAGUGUUGUUCGGAAUCACUGGGCGUAAAGGGAGCGUAGGCGGGCUCUUAAGUUGGAUGUUUAAAACCGGGGCCUAACCCCGGCGUGGCAUUCAAAACUGGGAGUCUUGAAUGGAACAGAGGCUAGUGGAAUUGGAGGUGUAGCGGUGGAAUGCGUAGAGAUCUCCAAGAACACCCGUUGCGAAGGCGGCUAGCUGGGUUCACAUUGACGCUGAGGCUCGAAAGCAUGGGGAGCAAACAGGAUUAGAUACCCUGGUAGUCCAUGCCGUAAACGAUGAACACUAGGUUUUGACCCCGUCAACGGGUCAGAGCCGCAGCUAACGCGUUAAGUGUUCCGCCUGGGGAGUACGGUCGCAAGACUGA